UGGUGCAAAAGUAAUUGUGGUUUUUGCCAUUGAAAGUAAUGGCAAAAACCUCAAUUACUUUUGCACCAACCU
Molecule: microRNA precursor, 72 nt
Filed under: Pan paniscus (pygmy chimpanzee)
Lineage: Eukaryota; Metazoa; Chordata; Mammalia; Primates; Hominidae
Description: miRNA (ENSPPAG00000002264.1)
Source: RNAcentral